This 419-nucleotide ribosomal RNA is filed under the name Fusobacteriota bacterium. RNAcentral's name for it is "Fusobacteria bacterium partial 16S ribosomal RNA". It matches the Rfam family "Bacterial small subunit ribosomal RNA", at positions 355 to 776 of the family's 1533-position model. Lineage: Bacteria; Fusobacteriati; Fusobacteriota. The record is from RNAcentral.
UGGGGGAUAUUGCACAAUGGGCGAAAGCCUGAUGCAGCGACGCCGCGUGGGGGAUGAAGGCCUUCGGGUUGUAAGCUUCUUUUGCUCUGAACAAGGUGCACCGUGGGGUGUGUUGAGUGUAGGGGUUGAUUAGCGCCGGCUAACUACGUGCCAGCAGCCGCGGUAAUACGUAGGGCGCGAGCGUUGUCCGGAAUUAUUGGGCGUAAAGGGCUUGUAGGUGGCUAGUUGCGUCUGUCGUGAAAGCUCAUGGCUUAACUGUGGGUUUGCGGUGGGUACGGGCUGGCUUGAGUGCAGUAGGGGAGGCUGGAAUUCCUGGUGUAGCGGUGGAAUGCGCAGAUAUCAGGAGGAAUACCGGUGGCGAAGGCGGGUCUCUGGGCUGUUACUGACACUGAGGAGCGAAAGCAUGGGGAGCGAACAGG